AGAGUUUGAUCCUGGCUCAGAUUGAGCGCUGGCGGCAUGCUUAACACAUGCAAGUCGAACGGUAACAGGCCCUUCGGGGUGCUGACGAGUGGCGGACGGGUGAGUAAUGCUUAGGAAUCUGCCUAGUAGUGGGGGAUAACCCGGGGAAACCCGGGCUAAUACCGCAUACGCCCCACGGGGGAAAGCGGGGGACUUUCGGGCCUCGCGCUAUUAGAUGAGCCUAAGUCCGAUUAGCUAGUUGGUAGGGUAAUGGCCUACCAAGGCGACGAUCGGUAGCUGGUCUGAGAGGACGACCAGCCACACUGGGACUGAGACACGGCCCAGACUCCUACGGGAGGCAGCAGUGGGGAAUAUUGGACAAUGGGGGAAACCCUGAUCCAGCGACGCCGCGUGUGUGAAGAAGGCCUGCGGGUUGUAAAGCACUUUUAGUGGGGAUGAAAAGCUCUGGGAUAACACCCCGGGGUCUUGACCUAACCCACAGAAAAAGCACCGGCUAACUCUGUGCCAGCAGCCGCGGUAAUACAGAGGGUGCGAGCGUUAAUCGGAAUUACUGGGCGUAAAGCGUGUGUAGGUGGCUCCCUAAGUCGGUUGUGAAAUCCCUGGGCUCAACCUGGGAAUUGCAUGGAUACUGGGCGACUAAGUGUGGUAAGGACAGUGGAAUUCCGGUGUANCANUGAAAUGCNUAAAAUCNGAAGGAACNUCUGUGGCNAAGCACUGUCUGGCCAACACUGACACUGAGGCACGAAAGCGUGGGAGCAAACAGGAUUAGAUACCCUGGUAGUCCACGCCNUAAACGAUGCGAACUGGAUGUUGGGCACAACUUGGUGCCCAGUAUNGAAGCUAACGCGUUAAGUUCGCCGCCUGGGGAGUACGGUCGCAAGACUGAAACUCAAAGGAAUUGACGGGGGCUCACACAAGCGGUGGAGCAUGUGGCUCAAUUCGAAGCAACGCGAAGAACCUUAUCCAAGGCUUGACAUGCACGGAUUAGGUCCCUGAAAGGGGACUGACAUCGCAAGAUGGAACGUGCACAGGUGCUGCAUGGCUGUCGUCAGCUCGUGCUGUGAAGUGUCGGGUUAAGUCCUCUAACGAGCGAAACCCCUGCCUCUAGUUGCUACCGUCCUUCGGGGCGCGCACUCUAGCGGGACUGCCGGUGUCAAACCGGAGGAAGGUGGGGACGACGUCAAGUCCUCAUGGCCUUUAUGCCUUGGGCUGCACACGUGCUACAAUGGCGUUUACAAACCGACCCGAUACCGCAAGGUGGAGGAAAUCGGAAAAAAAACGCCCCAGUUCAGAUCGGGGUCUGCAACUCGACCCCGUGAAGCCGGAAUCGCUAGUAAUCGCGGAUCAGCUACGCCGCGGUGAAUAUGUUCCUGAGCCUUGUACACACCGCCCGUCAAGUCAUGGGAGCCGGGAAUACCCGAAGCCGUGCUAUUUCAAGCAUGCCUACGGUAGGCUCGGUGACUGGGACUAAGUCGUAACAAGGUAACCGUA
Molecule: ribosomal RNA, 1491 nt
Filed under: uncultured bacterium
Lineage: Bacteria
Description: 16S ribosomal RNA
Rfam family: Bacterial small subunit ribosomal RNA
Source: RNAcentral